Clostridium sp. CAG:75 is the source of this 83-nucleotide transfer RNA. It matches the Rfam family "tRNA". Rfam says of the family: Transfer RNA (tRNA) molecules are approximately 80 nucleotides in length. Their secondary structure includes four short double-helical elements and three loops (D, anti-codon, and T loops). The record is from Rfam. Lineage: Bacteria; Bacillati; Bacillota; Clostridia; Eubacteriales; Clostridiaceae.
GCAUUAGUGGCGGAACGGCAGACGCAACGGACUCAAAAUCCGUCGGGGGUGACCUCGUGAGGGUUCAAAUCCCUCCUGAUGCA